RNAcentral lists this ribosomal RNA (433 nucleotides) under uncultured bacterium. Its description in RNAcentral is "partial 16S ribosomal RNA". It matches the Rfam family "Bacterial small subunit ribosomal RNA", at positions 29 to 507 of the family's 1533-position model. The record is from RNAcentral.
AACGAACGCUGGCGGCAUGCCUAACACAUGCAAGUCGAACGAGACCUUCGGGUCUAGUGGCGCACGGGUGCGUAACGCGUGGGAACCUGCCCUUAGGUUCGGAAUAACUCCCCGAAAGGGGUGCUAAUACCGGAUAAUGUCUUCGGACCAAAGAUUUAUCGCCUUUGGAUGGGCCCGCGUUGGAUUAGCUAGUUGGUAGGGUAAAAGCCUACCAAGGCGACGAUCCAUAGCUGGUCUGAGAGGAUGAUCAGCCACACUGGGACUGAGACACGGCCCAGACUCCUACGGGAGGCAGCAGUGGGGAAUAUUGGAAAAGGGGCGAAAGCCUGAUCCAGCAAUGCCGCGUGAGUGAUGAAGGCCUUAGGGUUGUAAAGCUCUUUUACCCGGGAUGAUAAUGACAGUACCGGGAGAAUAAGCUCCGGCUAACUCCGUG